Long non-coding RNA from Pseudopipra pipra, 878 nucleotides. RefSeq lists it as uncharacterized. Lineage: Eukaryota; Metazoa; Chordata; Aves; Passeriformes; Pipridae. The record is from RefSeq and is a predicted model, not a curated record. The transcript has 2 exons.
GGGGCGGGUUGGGGUUGGGGUCGGGCCGGGAAGGCGGGGGGGGGAGUGGAUAGACAAGACACCCCUCAGCACCCCCCGGGGGAGGGGGGAUGCAGUGGGGGCUGAAGUCGCCCCUCACCCUCCCCGUGCCCUUUCUUCCCCCCUGGAGGGCUGGGGCGGGGGGGAUGAAGGAUGAAGCCGGGGAGGUUUAUCCAUGGGCUCUGCCCGCCCCCCCCUCAUCGUACCCGGGUGACCUUUCAAAUCAAAGCCCGGCUCGUACCUACCAAGGUGCACUGGGCAGCAAGGGCUGGGGGGGUGAUGGGGAGGGGGGGUGAUGCACCCGGGCUCUCCCCCUCCCUCUGCCUUUCCCCCUCCCUCCCUCCCUCCUCCCUCCUCCCUCCCUCGCUGCUCCCUCCCUCUCUCUCUCUCUCUCUGCUGCAUUUUGCAUGAGCUAUCUAGGUCAUUAGCAUUUUAGCGUAUGCAAGACUUGACAAAGCUGAUGAGAAGCCAGAUGGGCCCCUCUCCUCUUUUUUUUGCACCACUUGGGAUCUGAGCGAAAGGAUUGACUGCAGCAGGCGAACGGGGGAAGGUUUAUUGCGCUCCUCCAGACCCCCCCGUUUAUAGCAGCGCGGCGGGGCUCGGGGCAGGCGGCAGAGAGCGGGCAGCGGCGGGCAGAGACGGAGGGCAGCUCCGCGCACGGACCCUCACCUACGGAAUGGUGCCCUUGGGAACACUGACAGCGGCUCGGGGUCCCUGGGACGCCUCUUUGCUCCCCCCCGCGGGGUGCUGCAGGUAUUUCGGGACAGCCCUCCCUGGGCUCUCCUCCCGCCGGGUGCGGAUGCCGCAAGGAGCCCGUCGGGUCGUGCCGUGCCGUGCCAAUAAAGCUCUUUCCUCGCGGG